This 411-nucleotide long non-coding RNA is filed under the name Vitis vinifera (wine grape). RNAcentral's name for it is "long non-coding RNA (VVIN_LNC001561)". The record is from RNAcentral. Lineage: Eukaryota; Viridiplantae; Streptophyta; Magnoliopsida; Vitales; Vitaceae.
UCGGUUAGUGCAUUCUCUGGUGCCUUUUCUGACAGCAAUGGGAAAGUCUAGGUCUAGGUUGUCUGUUGAGUCAAUGGAAGUUUCACCAGGUUGUGUAUGUAAAGGUGGGUCUGAUCUUACAAUGGGAAGGUCUAGGUCUAGGUUGUCUGUUGAGUUAGUGGAAGUUUCACCAGGUUGUGUAUGUAAAGGUGGGUCUGAUCUUACCGUGAUUUCAUUCCCAAGGUCUGAGUUGGAUUCUUGGACCUGCUUUUGUUCUGGAAUGGCCUUUUCCCUUGAAUACACCUUAGGAAACUGUGGAAAAUUGUGAGUGACACUGGCUGGAACAGAGGAUGACACAGGUUCUUCAUCACCAUGGGUUGAGACAUGAGGAAGAUCAAGAGGUUCAAAGGACACAUAAGGACUAUCUUCCAU